Molecule: ribosomal RNA, 492 nt
Filed under: uncultured bacterium
Lineage: Bacteria
Description: partial 16S ribosomal RNA
Rfam family: Bacterial small subunit ribosomal RNA
Source: RNAcentral
AGUGAACGCUGGCGGUAGGCCUAACACAUGCAAGUCGAACGGCAGCACAGUAAGAGCUUGCUCUUACGGGUGGCGAGUAGCGGACGGGUGGGGAGUACAUCGGACUCUACUUUUUCGUGGGGGAUAACGUAGGGAAACUUACGCUAAUCCCACAUACGACCUACGGGUUAAAGCAGGGGAUCAUCGGACCUUGCGCGUUUGCAUGAGCCGAUGUCGGGUUAGCUAGUUGGCGGGGUAAAGGCCCACCAAGGCGACGAUCCGUAGCUGGUCUGAGUGGAUGAUCAGCCACCCUGGAACGAAGACUGGGUCCAGACGCCUACGGGAGACAGCUGGGGGGAAAAUUGGACGAGGUGAGCAAGCCGGAUCCGGCGGUACCGCGUGGCUGAAGAAGGCGUUCGGGGCGUAAAGCCCUCUUGUUUGGGAAGAGAAGCAGCAGGUGAGUACCCCGCUGUGCUGACGGUACCCAAAGAAUAAGCACCGGCUAACGACGUG